Molecule: ribosomal RNA, 624 nt
Filed under: uncultured fungus
Lineage: Eukaryota; Fungi
Description: eukaryotic LSU rRNA
Rfam family: 5.8S ribosomal RNA (bases 258-411)
Source: RNAcentral
CUUGGUCAUUUAGAGGAAGUAAAAGUCGUAACAAGGUCUCCGUUGGUGAACCAGCGGAGGGAUCAUUACAGAGUUGCAAAACUCCCACAAACCAUCGCGAAUCUUACCCGUACGGUUGCCUCGGCGCUGGCGGUCCGGAAGGCCCUCGGGCCCCCCGGAUCCUCGGGUCUCCCGCUCGCGGGAGGCUGCCCGCCGGAGUGCCGAAACCAAACUCUUGAUAUUUUAUGUCUCUCUGAGUAAACUUUUAAAUAAGUCAAAACUUUCAACAACGGAUCUCUUGGUUCUGGCAUCGAUGAAGAACGCAGCGAAAUGCGAUAAGUAAUGUGAAUUGCAGAAUUCAGUGAAUCAUCGAAUCUUUGAACGCACAUUGCGCUCGCCAGUAUUCUGGCGAGCAUGCCUGUUCGAGCGUCAUUUCAACCAUCAAGCUCUGCUUGCGUUGGGGAUCCGCGGCUGCCCGCGGUCCCUCAAAAACAGUGGCGGGCUCGCUAGUCACACCGAGCGUAGUAACUCUACAUCGUUCUGGUCGUGCGGCGGGUUCUUGCCGUAAAACCCCCCAAUUUCUAAGGUUGACCUCGGAUCAGGUAGGAAUACCCGCUGAACUUAAGCAUAUCAAUAAGCGGAGGA